GACGUAGGGCGCGAGCGUUGUCCGGAAUUAUUGGGCGUAAAGAGCUCGUAGGCGGCUUGUUGCGUCGUCCGUGAAAUCCCGUGGCUCAACUGCGGGCUUGCGGACGAUACGGGCAGGCUAGAGUUCGGUAGGGGAGAAUGGAAUUCCUGGUGUAGCGGUGGAAUGCGCAGAUAUCAGGAGGAACACCAAUAGCGAAGGCAGCUCGCUGGGACGUUACUGACACUGAGGCGCGAAAGCGUGGGGAGCGAACAGG
RNAcentral lists this ribosomal RNA (253 nucleotides) under uncultured bacterium. RNAcentral's name for it is "partial 16S ribosomal RNA". It matches the Rfam family "Bacterial small subunit ribosomal RNA", at positions 524 to 776 of the family's 1533-position model. The record is from RNAcentral.